This is a long non-coding RNA of Saimiri boliviensis boliviensis (Bolivian squirrel monkey), 1026 nucleotides long. RefSeq lists it as uncharacterized. The record is from RefSeq and is a predicted model, not a curated record. Lineage: Eukaryota; Metazoa; Chordata; Mammalia; Primates; Cebidae.
CCCUGAAGGGGAAGAUACCAAAUCCCUGGACUUAGGCCUCCCAUGAUUGAGGGGAACUCUGCAGUCAGACCCUACCAUGCACUCUUCAGUGCAGGAGGAUCCCACAUUCCAAACAUCUCAUCAGGUCAUAUGCUAAAUGACAGGGCUGAGACCUCUCCACAGCACAUGUGAUACUGGGCUCAAUGAAGAUAAGAUGCGCAAAUCACGCUCUGUUCUGGAAAGCCCUAGACUGUGUCAUUCAAGAUGUGUGACAUGGAUAAAAAACACCCCAUGGUGGAAAGAGGUGUCAGAAAGCAUCUCGACAAUAAGAGAAAAAUGAGGAAUCCAAAAUGGUGCCCGGGCAUUGGUAGGUGGUGAAACCAGCCAUCUGGCCCUGUGCCCUGUCCUCAGAAGUGCCCCUGCAACCACAGCAGGUACAUUUCCUUUUAGUGUCCUGGGAACCAAGUAUUUUCUGUUGGUGGCAUCUCUCUUGCAGAAGGUGAAUCUUUGCCUGGCUUACCUGAGAUUUAGACCAUCCUACUUCCAGCCUCCACUAACACAAACUAGGUUGGUUCACAACAGGCUGCCAUAAAAUUUCUCAUUUUUUCUGUGUUUGAAAUGUGUAACUUUUGCUCUACUUCGUAAGUAAGACUUCUUGAGUUGACAGCUCUAAAACUUCCACUAAAAAAUAAUGGAUUUGUCAAACUUUUGAGCAAAGUAUAGAUGACACUUCUAAAGAUUUGAAUGUAAUUUCUUCUUUAAGGGUACUCACAGAAAGGGAAAAUAUGAUCUUACUACAUUGACCAUGAAAAUUCUGAGGUUCAUAUAGAGUCUAAAGUCAUUAGAAAAUGUAAAUCUCAAGAAAAUCCCUAAUACUAAAUAUAUGUGUACAUAUUGCCCAUAGUUGUGUAGUACGUAUUCAUGUAUCAUAUAUGCAUAGGUACUUGUAUGUUCUUAUUCAUACAUUAAAAUAUGUAUGAAUGUAUAAGAUGAAGCUGGAAAUUAUUGACACAUAUUGUAACUAAAUAAAGCAAACCUUUAACAACC